UACGUAGGUGGCAAGCGUUGUCCGGAUUUACUGGGCGUAAAGAGCGCGCAGGCGGUCGUUCAAGUCGCGUGUGAAAGCCCCCGGCUCAACUGGGGAGGGUCACGCGAUACUGAUCGACUCGAAGGCAGGAGAGGGUAGUGGAAUUCCCGGUGUAGUGGUGAAAUGCGUAGAUAUUCGCAAGAACACCAGUGGCGAAGGCGGCUCACUGGCCCGAUACUGACGCUGAGGUGCGAAAGCGUGGGGAGCAAACAGG
This 253-nucleotide ribosomal RNA is filed under the name uncultured bacterium. RNAcentral's name for it is "partial 16S ribosomal RNA". It matches the Rfam family "Bacterial small subunit ribosomal RNA", at positions 524 to 776 of the family's 1533-position model. The record is from RNAcentral.